AAUAAAUCAUUCUUUCACUUUUUAUCUAUAAUGUCUGACUCUUGAUCUUAUUUGAAAAAAAUUACGAUUAAUAUUUUUAUUUUUAUUAGAUGAUAAAUCGUGAAGAGUACUUUAUGUGUGACUAAUUUUUUUAUAAUUUCUUAAAAAAAAUUUAAAUAAAACAGAUAGUCAAACGUGGGACACGGAAACGAAAGAAUUGGUUUUUC
Molecule: microRNA precursor, 206 nt
Filed under: Oryza brachyantha (malo sina)
Lineage: Eukaryota; Viridiplantae; Streptophyta; Magnoliopsida; Poales; Poaceae
Description: MIR812 microRNA precursor family
Rfam family: MIR812 microRNA precursor family
Source: Rfam by way of RNAcentral